RNAcentral lists this ribosomal RNA (406 nucleotides) under uncultured bacterium. RNAcentral describes it as "partial 16S ribosomal RNA". It matches the Rfam family "Bacterial small subunit ribosomal RNA", at positions 30 to 526 of the family's 1533-position model. The record is from RNAcentral.
AUUGAACGCUGGCGGCAGGCUUAACACAUGCAAGUCGAGCGAGCGGCGGACGGGUGAGUAAUGUAUGGGAAUCUGCCUGAUGGAGGGGGAUAACUACUGGAAACGGUGGCUAAUACCGCAUACUAUCGGAUGUACCCAGAUGGGAUUAGCUAGUAGGUGGGGUAAUGGCUCACCUAGGCGACGAUCGCUAGCUGGUCUGAGAGGAUGAUCAGCCACACUGGAACUGAGACACGGCCCAGACUCCUACGGGAGGCAGCAGUGGGGAAUAUUGCACAAUGGGCGCAAGCCUGAUGCAGCCAUGCCGCGUGUAUGAAGAAGGCCUUAGGGUUGUAAAGUACUUUCAGCGGGGAGGCGUUACUCGCAGAAGAAGCACCGGCUAACUCCGUGCCAGCAGCCGCGGUAAUAC